CCUACGGGUGGCAGCAGUGGGGAAUAUUGCACAAUGGGGGAAACCCUGAUGCAGCGACGCCGCGUGAGUGAUGAAGUAUUUAGGUAUGUAAAGCUCUAUCAGCAGGGAAGAAAAUGACGGUAUCUGAUUAAGAAGCCCCGGCUAACUACGUGCCAGCAGCCGCGGUAAUACGUAGGGGGCAAGCGUUAUCCGGAUUUACUGGGUGUAAAGGGAGCGUAGGCGGCAGCACAAGUCUGGAGUGAAAUGCCGGGGCUUAACCCCGGAACUGCCGUUGAAACUGUGCAGCUAGAGUGCGGGAGAGGUAAGUGGAAUUCGUGGUGUAGCGGUGAAAUGCGUAGAUAUUAGGAGGAACACCGAUGGCGAAGGCGGCUUACUGGACUGUAACUGACGUUGAGGCUCGAAAGUGUGGGGAGCAAACAGGAUUAGAUACCCGGGUAGUC
RNAcentral lists this ribosomal RNA (440 nucleotides) under uncultured bacterium. Its description in RNAcentral is "partial 16S ribosomal RNA". It matches the Rfam family "Bacterial small subunit ribosomal RNA", at positions 338 to 795 of the family's 1533-position model. The record is from RNAcentral.